GUGCCAGCAGCCGCGGUAAUACAGAGGUCUCAAGCGUUGUUCGGAAUCACUGGGCGUAAAGGGUGCGUAGGUGGCGUGGCAAGUCAGAUGUGAAAGCCCGGGGCUCAACCUCGGAACUGCAUCCGAUACUGCCAUGCUAGAGUACUGGAGGGGUGACUAGAAUUCUCGGUGUAGCAGUGAAAUGCGUAGAUAUCGAGAGGAAUACCAAAGGCGUAGGCAGGUCACUGGACAGUUACUGACACUGAGGCACGAAGGCCAGGGGAGCGANCGGGAUUAGAUACCCCGGUAGUCC
Molecule: ribosomal RNA, 292 nt
Filed under: uncultured prokaryote
Description: partial 16S ribosomal RNA
Rfam family: Bacterial small subunit ribosomal RNA
Source: RNAcentral